This 404-nucleotide long non-coding RNA is filed under the name Trifolium pratense (red clover). RNAcentral describes it as "long non-coding RNA (TPRA_LNC001534)". The record is from RNAcentral. Lineage: Eukaryota; Viridiplantae; Streptophyta; Magnoliopsida; Fabales; Fabaceae.
GAAACCCUUUCCUCAUAUUCCUAUCUACAAACCUCCUUUUCCUCAUAUUCCUAUCUUCAAAAAACCUUUCCCUCCACAUGAGCCUAUCUAUGAAAAACCUCUUCCUCCGCCUACACCGGUCUAUGAAAAACCAGUUCCUCCGCCUACACCUGUCUAUGAAAAACCUCUUCCUCCGCCUACACCGGUCUAUGAGAAACCUCUUCCCCCGCCUACACCUGUCUAUGAGCCUCCACCAACUCCUGUAUAUCAUAAACCUCUUCCCCCACCUACGCCUGUCUAUGAGAAACCUCUUCCUCCACCUACACCUGUAUAUCAUAAACCACAUCCACCACCGGCUCCGGUCAAAGGUUGUCCACCAAAGGUUGAACACCCAAUUCUACCACCUGCUCCAGUAUACAAACCUC